UUGGGUUUAAAGGGUCCGUAGGCGGGCCUGUAAGUCAGGGGUGAAAGUUUGUGGCUCAACCAUAAAAUUGCCUUUGAUACUGCAGGUCUUGAGUCAUGGUGGGGUCGCCGGAACAUGUGGUGUAGCGGUGAAAUGCAUAGAUAUCACAUAGAACACCGAUCGCGAAGGCAGGUGGCCAACCAUGUACUGACGCUGAUGGACGAAAGCGUGGGUAGCGAACGGGAUUAGAUACCCCGGUAGUCCACGCCGUAAACGAUGGAUACUAGCUGUGGGGACUUCGGUCUCCGUGGCCAAGCGAAAGUGAUAAGUAUCCCACCUGGGGAGUACGUUCGCAAGAAUGAAACUCAAAGGAAUUGACGGGGGCCCGCACAAGCGGUGGAGCAUGUGGUUUAAUUCGAUGAUACGCGAGGCACCUUACCAGGGCUUAAAUGCAGGCUGCAUCGGGUAGAGAUACCCCUUUCUUCGGACCGCCUGCAAGGUGCUGCAUGGUUGU
This 493-nucleotide ribosomal RNA is filed under the name Flavobacteriales bacterium TrichAT17. Its description in RNAcentral is "bacterial SSU rRNA". It matches the Rfam family "Bacterial small subunit ribosomal RNA", at positions 554 to 1052 of the family's 1533-position model. The record is from RNAcentral. Lineage: Bacteria; Pseudomonadati; Bacteroidota; Flavobacteriia; Flavobacteriales.